UGAGCCUUUCUCUCUUAGCUCCCAGUUAAUGUUCACAGCACGGGAGGCCCAGAGGGAAGGCUUGAA
Monodelphis domestica (gray short-tailed opossum) is the source of this 66-nucleotide microRNA precursor. NCBI's taxonomy places the organism in Eukaryota, Metazoa, Chordata, Mammalia, Didelphimorphia, Didelphidae. The record is from Ensembl.